Non-coding RNA from Pelobates cultripes (western spadefoot toad), 226 nucleotides. The record is from the annotation of a GenBank genome assembly. NCBI's taxonomy places the organism in Eukaryota, Metazoa, Chordata, Amphibia, Anura, Pelobatidae.
AAUGAGCAGUAGGUAACAUGCUAAAUUAGCUUGACUGGCAUAUAAACAUAUUGGAAUUAAAAUGAAAAGGAAAUAAAAAUGAAUGCACAAUUUCCACUGAAACUAGGUGCAGUCCUGAGCUGGUUGCAUUACGGGUGUGACUGCUAAGGGAUGAAAGUAAAAAAAACAACAUAACCUUGGGGCAACACCUCCACCUGAGAGCAUACAAAGGAAAGAUGAGCCAGUG